UACGAAGGGGGCUAGCGUUGUUCGGAAUCACUGGGCGUAAAGGGCGCGUAGGCGGCUUUAUAAGUCGGGGGUGAAAGCCUGUGGCUCAACCACAGAAUUGCCUUCGAUACUGUAGAGCUUGAGACCGGAAGAGGUAAGUGGAACUGCGAGUGUAGAGGUGAAAUUCGUAGAUAUUCGGAGGAACACCAGUGGCGAAGGCGGCUCACUGGCUCGGUACUGACGCUGAGGUGCGAAAGCGUGGGGAGCAAACAGG
RNAcentral lists this ribosomal RNA (253 nucleotides) under uncultured bacterium. Its description in RNAcentral is "partial 16S ribosomal RNA". It matches the Rfam family "Bacterial small subunit ribosomal RNA", at positions 524 to 776 of the family's 1533-position model. The record is from RNAcentral.